This 1425-nucleotide ribosomal RNA is filed under the name uncultured bacterium. RNAcentral describes it as "bacterial SSU rRNA". It matches the Rfam family "Bacterial small subunit ribosomal RNA". The record is from RNAcentral.
UGCAAGUCGUACGAGAAAGUACCCUUCGGGGUGCGAGUAGAGUGGCGAACGGGUGAGUAACACGUGAGGAACCUGCCUCGAAGUCUGGAAUAACCUCGAGAAAUUGGGGCUAAUACCGGAUGUGGCCCGGACGGCGCAUGCCGACCGGAUUAAAGAUCGCCUAUCCCUGGAAGCGAUCGCUUCGAGAUGGCCUCGCGGCCUAUUAGCUUGUUGGCGGGGUAACGGCCCACCAAGGCGACGAUGGGUAGCCGGCCUGAGAGGGUGUACGGCCACAUUGGGACUGAGAUACGGCCCAAACUCCUACGGGAGGCAGCAGUAGGGAAUAUUGCGCAAUGGGCGGAAGCCUGACGCAGCAACGCCGCGUGAGCGAUGAAGGCCUUCGGGUUGUAAAGCUCUGUCAGGGGGGAAGAACCCCCGAUGGAUGAAUAGUCCGUCGGGCUGACAGUACCCCCAGAGGAAGCUCCGGCUAACUCCGUGCCAGCAGCCGCGGUAAUACGGAGGGAGCAAACGUUGUUCGGAAUUACUGGGCGUAGAGGGCGUGUAGGCGGUCGGGUCAGUCAGGUGUGAAAGGCUGCCGCUCAACGGCAGAUCUGCACCUGAUACUGCUCGACUAGAGGUCGGGAGAGGAGAGCGGAAUUCCCAGUGUAGCGGUGGAAUGCGUAGAUAUUGGGAAGAACACCAGUGGCGAAGGCGGCUCUCUGGACCGAUUCUGACGCUGAGGCGCGAAAGCUGGGGGAGCAAACAGGAUUAGAUACCCUGGUAGUCCCAGCCGUAAACGAUGGGCACUAGGUGCUGGAGAUAUCGACAUCCUCAGCGCCGUAGCUAACGCAUUAAGUGCCCCGCCUGGGGAGUACGACCGCAAGGUUGAAACUCAAAGGAAUUGACGGGGGCCCGCACAAGCGGUGGAGCAUGUGGUUCAAUUCGAAGCAACGCGAAGAACCUUACCCGGGCUUGACAUGUUGGUGAAAUCCCUGGAAACAGGGCUUCCCUUCGGGGCACCAUCACAGGUGUUGCAUGGCUGUCGUCAGCUCGUGUCGUGAGAUGUUGGGUUAAGUCCCGCAACGAGCGCAACCCCUGUCCCUUGUUGCCAGCGAGUAAUGUCGGGGACUCUAGGGAGACUGCCGGUGAUAAAUCGGAGGAAGGCGGGGAUGACGUCAAGUCCUCAUGGCCCUUAUGCCCGGGGCUACACACGUGCUACAAUGGCCGGUACAGCGAGAAGCAAUGCCGCGAGGUGGAGCGAAUCUCUCAAAACCGGUCUAAGUUCGGAUUGCAGUCUGCAACUCGACUGCAUGAAGUUGGAAUCGCUAGUAAUCGCGGAUCAUCAACGCCGCGGUGAAUACGUUCCCGGGCCUUGUACACACCGCCCGUCACGCCAUGGAAGCCGGGGGUACCCGAAGUCGCUGUCCCAACCCGCAAGGGAGGGAG